Molecule: ribosomal RNA, 253 nt
Filed under: uncultured bacterium
Lineage: Bacteria
Description: partial 16S ribosomal RNA
Rfam family: Bacterial small subunit ribosomal RNA
Source: RNAcentral
UACGGGGGAGCAAGCGUUGUUCGGAUUUUCUGGGCGUAAAGGGCGCCUAGGCGGUCAGCACAAGUCAGUUGUGAAAUCUCCGGGCUUAACUCGGAAAGGUCAACUGAUACUGUGCGACUAGAGUGCGGAAGGGGCAACUGGAAUUCUCGGUGUAGCGGUGAAAUGCGUAGAUAUCAAGAGGAACACCUGAGGCGAAGGCGGGUUGCUAGGCUGACACUGACGCUGAAGCGCGAAAGCUAGGGUAGCAAACGGG